This 440-nucleotide ribosomal RNA is filed under the name uncultured bacterium. RNAcentral's name for it is "partial 16S ribosomal RNA". It matches the Rfam family "Bacterial small subunit ribosomal RNA", at positions 338 to 795 of the family's 1533-position model. The record is from RNAcentral.
CCUACGGGAGGCAGCAGUGGGGGAUAGUGCACAAUGGGGGGAACCCUGAUGCAGCGACGCCGCGUGGGUGAAGAAGCGCCUCGGCGCGUAAAGCCCUGUCAGCAGGGAAGAAAAUGACGGUACCUGAAGAAGAAGCCCCGGCUAACUACGUGCCAGCAGCCGCGGUCAUACGGAGGGGGCAAGCGUUAUCCGGAUUUACUGGGUGUAAAGGGGGCGCAGACGGCGAUGCAAGCCAGGAGUGAAAGCCCGGGGCCCAACCCCGGGACUGCUCUUGGAACUGCGUGGCUGGAGUGCAGGAGGGGCAGGCGGAAUUCCUGGUGUAGCGGUGACAUGCGUCGAUAUCAGGAGGAACACCGGUGGCGACGGCGGCCUGCUGGACUGCAACUGACGUUGCGGCCCGACAGCGUGGGGAGCAAACAGGAUUAGAUACCCUUGUAGUC